Molecule: transfer RNA, 77 nt
Filed under: Gammaproteobacteria bacterium
Lineage: Bacteria; Pseudomonadati; Pseudomonadota; Gammaproteobacteria
Also listed under: 1 other name
Description: tRNA-Arg
Rfam family: tRNA
About the family: Transfer RNA (tRNA) molecules are approximately 80 nucleotides in length.
Source: RNAcentral
GCGCCCGUAGCUCAGCUGGAUAGAGUACCUGGCUUCGAACCAGGUGGUCGGGGGUUCGAGUCCCUCCGGGCGUACCA